UGCAAGUCGAACGAUGAUCCCAGCUUGCUGGGGGAUUAGUGGCGAACGGGUGAGUAACACGUGAGUAACCUGCCCUUAACUCUGGGAUAAGCCUGGGAAACUGGGUCUAAUACCGGAUAUGACUCCUCAUCGCAUGGUGGGGGGUGGAAAGCUUUAUUGUGGUUUUGGAUGGACUCGCGGCCUAUCAGCUUGUUGGUGAGGUAAUGGCUCACCAAGGCGACGACGGGUAGCCGGCCUGAGAGGGUGACCGGCCACACUGGGACUGAGACACGGCCCAGACUCCUACGGGAGGCAGCAGUGGGGAAUAUUGCACAAUGGGCGAAAGCCUGAUGCAGCGACGCCGCGUGAGGGAUGACGGCCUUCGGGUUGUAAACCUCUUUCAGUAGGGAAGAAGCGAAAGUGACGGUACCUGCAGAAGAAGCGCCGGCUAACUACGUGCCAGCAGCCGCGGUAAUACGUAGGGCGCAAGCGUUAUCCGGAAUUAUUGGGCGUAAAGAGCUCGUAGGCGGUUUGUCGCGUCUGCCGUGAAAGUCCGGGGCUCAACUCCGGAUCUGCGGUGGGUACGGGCAGACUAGAGUGAUGUAGGGGAGACUGGAAUUCCUGGUGUAGCGGUGAAAUGCGCAGAUAUCAGGAGGAACACCGAUGGCGAAGGCAGGUCUCUGGGCAUUAACUGACGCUGAGGAGCGAAAGCAUGGGGAGCGAACAGGAUUAGAUACCCUGGUAGUCCAUGCCGUAAACGUUGGGCACUAGGUGUGGGGGACAUUCCACGUUUUCCGCGCCGUAGCUAACGCAUUAAGUGCCCCGCCUGGGGAGUACGGCCGCAAGGCUAAAACUCAAAGGAAUUGACGGGGGCCC
Molecule: ribosomal RNA, 855 nt
Filed under: mercury-resistant bacterium CFU 158
Lineage: Bacteria
Description: bacterial SSU rRNA
Rfam family: Bacterial small subunit ribosomal RNA
Source: RNAcentral